AGUGAACGCUGGCGGUAGGCCUAACACAUGCAAGUCGAACGGCAGCACAGUAAGAGCUUGCUCUUACGGGUGGCGAGUGGCGGACGGGUGAGGAAUACAUCGGAAUCUACUUUUUCGUGGGGGAUAACGUAGGGAAACUUACGCUAAUACCGCAUACGACCUACAGGUGAAAGCAGGGGAUCUUCGGACCUUGCGCGAUUGAAUGAGCCGAUGUCGGAUUAGCUAGUUGGCGGGGUAAAGGCCCACCAAGGCGACGAUCCGUAGCUGGUCUGAGAGGAUGAUCAGCCACACUGGAACUGAGACACGGUCCAGACUCCUACGGGAGGCAGCAGUGAGGAAUAUUGGACAAUGGGCGCAAGCCUGAUCCAGCCAUACCGCGUGGGUGAAGAAGGCCUUCGGGUUGUAAAGCCCUUUUGUUGGGAAAGAAAAGCAGCAGGUUAAUACCCCGCUGUUCUGACGGUACCCAAAGAAUAAGCACCGGCUAACUUCGUG
This 492-nucleotide ribosomal RNA is filed under the name uncultured bacterium. Its description in RNAcentral is "partial 16S ribosomal RNA". It matches the Rfam family "Bacterial small subunit ribosomal RNA", at positions 29 to 507 of the family's 1533-position model. The record is from RNAcentral.